Molecule: ribosomal RNA, 301 nt
Filed under: uncultured bacterium
Lineage: Bacteria
Description: partial 16S ribosomal RNA
Rfam family: Bacterial small subunit ribosomal RNA
Source: RNAcentral
CAGCCGCCGCGGUAAAACGUAGGUGGCAAGCGUUGUCCGGAAUUAUUGGGCGUAAAGGGCUCGCAGGCGGUUUCUUAAGUCUGAUGUGAAAGCCCCCGGCUCAACCGGGGAGGGUCACUGGAAACUGGGAAACUUGAGUGCAGAAGAGGAGAGUGGAAUUCCACGUGUAGCGGUGAAAUGCGUAGAGAUGUGGAGGAACACCAGUGGCGAAGGCGACUCUCUGGUCUGUAACUGACGCUGAGGAGCGAAAGCGUGGGGAGCGAACAGGAUUAGAGACCCGAGUAGUCCCUGUCUCUUAUAC